GCAGUGAGGAGCUGAACUUUCCCCUCCUCUGCUGUCCCUGCAGACGGGCAGGGUCGCCUACAGAGCGGCGCUGGUAGCUGUUAAUGAAGUGAUGCUCUUUCAUUUGAGGGUCCCAUUUCAUCAGUUCUAAGGGGCAAGACGACACUCAAACAAGAGGUAGGGGUAAGAAUAAAUGGGAUUGGGUACAGGCCUGAAUGCUUGACCCCUACAGUCUGUUGUGAGGAGCAUUUUGGCACAGAUUGGGUCCACUUGUCCCCUUAGAUGCAGGGGUCACUGCAAACCAAUGCAAAUGUACUCUGAUCAGCCUUGAUGUGAUGAAAUAUUUCUGUCCUCUUCCAGGAUGACAGUGGCCCCGUUCACAGGGCACAAGGGGUCACCGAAUGCUUUGAUGAGUGUGAAAAUGAUGUAAAUCAUACACAGUGGCCUUCAGUCAGAUCUCAGUCCAGUUGAACACGUGUGGAAGAUCUUGGACCAUGUUCUCCACCACCACCACCGUUGGGAACACCAGUUGAGGGAAUUAAAAUGCUGUAAUUUGCCACCCGUCUGUAGUUCAUGUUAGAGCAGCAGGUGUGCUUCUCUCCUCAGCUCUCCGUGGCUCUGAUCCAGCAGCUCUGAAGCCUAUCUGUGAUUUAUUGACUGAGAAAUAACCCAAACGUGGAGAUCCGACUGCGGCCCUCAAAGGAAAGAAUUAGCCGAAUUAGAUUUACUCUCUUCUCUCCGGAAUGUGUGCAGGACCUCUUGAGAGGGAACGAGGUAACAAGCUGCUGAUUGAGUGCUGCCUACAAACUGAGCGAUGUGGCGAUGCCUUCAGGGAAGAUCCGAGCAGCAGAGAGAGAGAGAGCGGUCAACACCAGCAGCCCCGUGCAGAUCCGCGCUGCGUGGGAUGUUUAUUUAUUCGUCUCCGAGAGCCUCUGAGAGCCUCCGAGAGCCGGGGGCCUGACGUUUUGACACCUCACAGAGGUGCACUUGAUCUCACUGUGUCUGUUUGCCUGGAUUUCCUACAAGUGCUGAAUCUUAGCAGUAAUCCCCCCUCGCCGCCCACCGCCGCCUCGCUCCUGACAGACCAACACUAAGCCUGUUAAGUUGUCGCAGCACUUGGUGAAGAGAGACUGAAAAAUGUCAUCCAGGUCAGCAUUUUGUACCUUUGAGGAAAAACUGAGAGUCUCACAGCAGCAAUCCACCCGGUCGCUGCUCCCUUUUCAGCCUGGUCUCGAUUAGCUGCGGUCAUUCGGUUACCAGCAUGGAUGCGACUGCCCAUUGACUUCUGCUGUAAGUUGUGUUGAACGUGUCGUUUCUGUUAACUGACGCACAGCAGAUGGAGAUUAGGCUGAAAAACACCGGGCCUCGUUUAACCGAGUGGAGAGCACAUACAUUAUAUAUACAUAUAUAUAUAUAUAUAUGUCUGUAUGUAUUUAAUGCUGUAUGGAGCAGCUGUUCAGGGUUCCUCUACCCUUCCUAGCGGUGUACAUAUUUGUGGAACCAGCAAACGGAGAACCCGGCUCAAUACAGCCCACAUAAAGUUUUCUUUUUUUUAAUUUUUCCAUUUUAUUUUUUUCCUUUUGAGGAUUUCUCUCAUGUGGGAUCAUCCAUUAAUCCACAUUAUCACAAGAACAAAUGCUGAGUGGAUUAUUGCCACAGUGCCGGUGCUGAUUCCGGAUCACCAGAAUAUUCUUUAAUCUGCCUUUUCUUUGAGAUUACCAUAAUUUAAGCCUUAUUUUAAACCCCGCUGCCCUCUUAGCGCUUACUGUGACGGAAUGUGCUCUGAAACGAUGGCCUAAGGAAAGGAAUGAUGUUUAAACAGUGCUGAAAGGGAAUUUUGCGUUUGCCUGAUCCAGCGCUGUAGCAGGUGCGAUGCCUUUGUUUGACAGUGUUGUAGUUUAUCAGUAUUAAAAAGUGCACAAAAUAUGGAGAAUAAACUGACCAGCUCUAAGCAUACAUGCUUAAAGGGCCCAUACCAUGAAAAAUCUGUUUUUUUUUUUCCCUUUAUAUAAUACAGACGUUAUACAGUCCACCAUUCGUCCUUUGAGUCCAUACAGGCUGUUAAUUGAACCUAAGCUGCAAAAACAGGCUGUUUUGAAUUCAUUGUUUUUGUGAUGUCACAAAAACCAACAUAAUUACAUGUGUCUACAGCGGUUUAGUCCUGCCCAUUCGUGCUGAAGUUGUGAGCAUUUCAACUUGGGCUGCUUUUUUCAUGAAUAAGGCAUGAUAGAAGGCAGCCAAUCAGAACAAAGGUCAUUUACAUACUUUUAAGGACAUUAAAGGGCCCAUAUAACUGGCAAAAUAAUGUUUGUUUUUUGAUGUAUGUGCAAUAAAUACUGUAAUAAAGUGAAAAAAAAAUUAACCCUUCACUGUGCACCUCCAUAAUGGUCGAUAAAUGUAAACAGCUGCAAAAAAAAAGCUCAUUUUGAAUUCACUGUUUUUGUGAUGUCACAAACAAGCACAUUUACAUGUCUACAGCAGUUUAGUCCUGUCUUUUCACGCUGAAGUUAUGAACAUUUCAACCUGGAAUGCUUUUUGCUGAAUGAGGCGCAGUAGACAGCAGCCAAUCAGAACGGAAGUCGUUUACAUACGUUUACAUUAAAGGGCCUCUGCACUCUAUAAUGGUCAAUAUGUUUUUAAGCAGCUGCAAAAAAAACUGCUUAUUUUUAAUGCGCUGUUUUUCGUGAUGUCACAAAAAUGAACACGUUUACAUGCCUACAGCAGUUAAGCCUUGCUCAUUCACUCUGAAGUGAGGAGAAUUUCAGCCUGGGCUGUGUUUUUUGCUGAAUGGGGCAAAACAGACAAGAGCCAAUGAGGACAGAGGUCAUUUACAUAUAUUUACAUUAAAGGUCUCACAACACAGAAAAAAAAAAUUCUUCGUCUUAUUUUUUUAUAUUGUAUUUAUUGUAUUGAAUAAAUACUUCAGUAAAUGUACUGAUAGUUUUUAAAAAUAAUAAAGGGAUAAAAAUAAAGGGAACAAAAAACAGCUUCACUGGUUUUGUGACGUCACAAAAAUUAACACCUUUACAUGUCAGCAUACAGCAGUUAAGGCGUACUCAUUCACCCUGAUUUACAAGUGUGUCAGCCUGGAUUGCCUUAUGAGUGAGGGUUGGUGCAAAGCAGCCAAUCAGGACAGAGCACAUUUACAUAGGUCUUAAAGGGACGGUAACAAAAACAGCCUGUUUGAUUCUAAGGAAUCAGCCGUGUGAAAAUGAAGCGAGGUUCAUUUUGGUACAUAAAGCCCACACAAGAUACCCAAGAUGUGUGGGGCAUGGGCCCUUUAAUCUCAGACCAAACUUUUAAGCAGGGCACGCUCAGUUCACUGUCAGGCCGUGGACUGGGACGUGAACUAUGUCAUUUGGAAACCUGCCACAGAUGUGCGCUAUGACUUGGUCAGUGUUGCCUUUGAGAGCUGUGAGAGUGUUUUACAGAGGCUGAGCUCGGCGCUCUGGUUUACAGACAGCAGCCGUGCUCUGGAUGCGUGGUAAACUGCAGUGGGCCUUAAACAGAAGAGAUUCGUUUGUUUUUCUGUUGUUUUUUCUUUUUCCCCGCCGUUUCUUUGCACUUGUGUACAUAAUGUAUAUGAACACGUGGAUGGAUCUUGAAGAUGUGAUGUCUGAGUGGAUGUUGAGGAUGGUGCUGAGUUUGUAUUAAAAAAAAUAACAGCUGUUUGGUGAAUUUGGGUGCAGCAGCAGCUUCGGAUCGUUUUUGGUCGUUGUGGGAAUAUUUCUGAUUACACUUACAGCCUCUGCAUAUACUUAGACAUUUUUACAUAACCUGACAGUGUGGUUUAUAUUAUAUUACAUUAUAUAAAUAAGGUCUCUUUCCUUUUUUAUAUCAAAGACCAGCUACCUCCACAGCACUUAAAGGGGAACUCCACCUAGUUUUCAGAAUUUCUGCAGAAAUAAAUGGUUAAAAUGUGAACAGAGUCAUGUGGGCUCUGUUUUAGAGAAACCUUCCAAGCGCACAGUGGUGGUGAUAGGAACCAGACGUCCGGCUCCCUGCAGGACGUCCCCUGCAGAUGCCCGCAGGUCACUUUUAAGGCAAAAUAGUACCUAAAAGGCAUAUUUUUAUUUCAGAUUUGAUCAGUCACAUUACAAAUGAGGCCCAAGUGCUUCCCCCCGGUUCCUAUCGCCACCCCUGCGAAGAAGUCUGACUCACUUUCUCUACAACGAACCGUUCCACACCAAACCGCUCUGAAUGACUUCACGGCUCAACCACUUAAUUAGGCAUGAAUUUUUGAAAAAUCAGCGGGAUUUCCCCUUUCAAGGCUCUAGUGUCACCUCCCAGGUUAGGCCUAACGCCAGAUUAACGGCUAUUUAAAGGGAGUAGGUCUGUUACAGCUGCCUUUUCUGACUCGUUCUAGGCUUUAACUGGGUGUCAGACACCGGCCCCCAGCAUUACGACUGAAGCACUGUAAUAUCUGUCAGGAAACGCACCAUCAGCGCCGUGUCGGAGGCUGCUGACGCUCUGGCCCACCACACCUCGGUUCAUCUCGCAGAAACGAAAGUAAAAGGACCAAGUCGAUCCCUGCUCUACCACAGCCGAGUCAGAGGCAGCUCCGAGGUGGGAGCGAGAGCAGAGGAACCGCUGUGGUUUCCAGGUGGAGAACAUCUACAAGGUCUUGAGUGGUGACGCUGUAUAAAGGCCGAGAGACUUCAAGCUGGUGAAACUUUAAUCCCGAGGUAAAGACGGAUCAGUGGGCUUGAAUGACUGAUGUAUAGGUGCAGAACUGCUCUCUUCACUGUGCCCUUUUCAUAGAAUCACCCUCGAGCCACCUCGCCUCAUACCGCCUCCACAUCCACACGCGUAUCCAUAAACUGGACUUCUUCGUUUUCCUUUCGUUUUUUGUUUUUUUUUUACUAACUGUUUUCUUUCCUUGUACAGUAUUUUGCUGAGAUUAACUGAGAUUUACAGAGGAGAGAAGCUGUAAAUGAAUGUGUAAUUUAUUGUUGGGAUUGGCUUUAUAAAUAAAAAUCAGACUCGAGUCACGUU
Long non-coding RNA from Pygocentrus nattereri (red-bellied piranha), 4974 nucleotides. RefSeq lists it as uncharacterized. Lineage: Eukaryota; Metazoa; Chordata; Actinopteri; Characiformes; Serrasalmidae. The record is from RefSeq and is a predicted model, not a curated record. The transcript is spliced from 2 exons.